This is a non-coding RNA of Paramuricea clavata, 202 nucleotides long. NCBI's taxonomy places the organism in Eukaryota, Metazoa, Cnidaria, Anthozoa, Malacalcyonacea, Plexauridae. The record is from the annotation of a GenBank genome assembly.
UUUGGUGGUGUCAUCUAAAGCUGGUGUCAACUAAAGCUGGUGUCGAAAGUUCAAGUGCUACCCGUUUGGUUUUGUCAGUUUUGGCUUUAGCAUUGUCUUGCCUCAUCAAAAACUUGUAAUUACGGAUGCAGUAAAAACGUUUACUUGUAUGAUAAAAGACACUAGUUUUUAUUAAAGGACGAUAUAAAUAUGUGCAUUCCAA